CCUUCGGGCGCUGACGAGUGGCGGACGGGUGAGUAACGCGUAGGAAUCUGCCUGUUAGUGGGGGACAACGUGGGGAAACUCACGCUAAUACCGCAUACGCCCUGAGGGGGAAAGUGGGGGACCGCAAGGCCUCGCGCUAUCAGAUGAGCCUGCGUGGGAUUAGCUAGUUGGUAGGGUAAAGGCCUACCAAGGCGACGAUCCCUAGCUGGUCUGAGAGGACGAUCAGCCACACUGGGACUGAGACACGGCCCAGACUCCUACGGGAGGCAGCAGUGGGGAAUAUUGGACAAUGGGCGCAAGCCUGAUCCAGCAAUACCGCGUGUGUGAAGAAGGCCUGAGGGUUGUAAAGCACUUUUAAUCGGGAGGAACCCCUAUUCGUUAAGAGCGGGUAGACUGACAUUACCGAUAGAAAAAGCACCGGCUAACUCCGUGCCAGCAGCCGCGGUAAUACGGAGGGUGCGAGCGUUAAUCGGAAUUACUGGGCGUAAAGCGUGCGUAGGCGGCGCGUUAAGUCAGAUGUGAAAGCCCCGGGCUUAACCUGGGAACGGCAUUUGAAACUGGCGAGCUAGAGUUGAGGAGAGGGGAGUGGAAUUUCCGGUGUAGCGGUGAAAUGCGUAGAGAUCGGAAGGAACUCCCGUGGCGAAGGCGGCUCCCUGGCCUCAAACUGACGCUGAGGUACGAAAGCGUGGGUAGCAAACAGGAUUAGAUACCCUGGUAGUCCACGCUGUAAACGAUGUCAACUAGCCGUUGGUCCUUUUUAAUAAGGAUAAGUGGCGCAGCUAACGCGAUAAGUUGACCGCCUGGGGAGUACGGCCGCAAGGUUAAAACUCAAAUGAAUUGACGGGGGCCCGCACAAGCGGUGGAGCAUGUGGUUUAAUUCGAUGCAACGCGAAGAACCUUACCACCCCUUGACAUCCAUAGAAUC
RNAcentral lists this ribosomal RNA (925 nucleotides) under uncultured type I methanotroph. RNAcentral's name for it is "bacterial SSU rRNA". It matches the Rfam family "Bacterial small subunit ribosomal RNA", at positions 77 to 997 of the family's 1533-position model. Lineage: Bacteria; Pseudomonadati; Pseudomonadota; Gammaproteobacteria; Methylococcales; Methylococcaceae. The record is from RNAcentral.